ACCCUGGUAGUCCACGCCGUAAACGAUGUCGACUUGGAGGUUGUGCCCUUGAGGCGUGGCUUCCGGAGCUAACGCGUUAAGUCGACCGCCUGGGGAGUACGGCCGCAAGGUUAAAACUCAAAUGAAUUGACGGGGGCCCGCACAAGCGGUGGAGCAUGUGGUUUAAUUCGAUGCAACGCGAAGAACCUUACCUGGUCUUGACAUCCACGGAAGUUUUCAGAGAUGAGAAUGUGCCUUCGGGAACCGUGAGACAGGUGCUGCAUGGCUGUCGUCAGCUCGUGUUGUGAAAUGUUGGGUUAAGUCCCGCAACGAGCGCAACCCUUAUCCUUUGUUGCCAGCGGUCCGGCCGGGAACUCAAAGGAGACUGCCAGUGAUAAACUGGAGGAAGGUGGGGAUGACGUCAAGUCAUCAUGGCCCUUACGACCAGGGCUACACACGUGCUACAAUGGCGCAUACAAAGAGAAGCGACCUCGCGAGAGCAAGCGGACCUCAUAAAGUGCGUCGUAGUCCGGAUUGGAGUCUGCAACUCGACUCCAUGAAGUCGGAAUCGCUAGUAAUCGUGGAUCAGAAUGCCACGGUGAAUACGUUCCCGGGCCUUGUACACACCGCCCGUCACACCAUGGGAGUGGGUUGCAAAAGAAGUA
RNAcentral lists this ribosomal RNA (644 nucleotides) under Escherichia sp. RNAcentral describes it as "bacterial SSU rRNA". It matches the Rfam family "Bacterial small subunit ribosomal RNA", at positions 784 to 1428 of the family's 1533-position model. The record is from RNAcentral. Lineage: Bacteria; Pseudomonadati; Pseudomonadota; Gammaproteobacteria; Enterobacterales; Enterobacteriaceae.